RNAcentral lists this unclassified non-coding RNA (2643 nucleotides) under Leishmania donovani. Its description in RNAcentral is "gene:LdHU3.34.2310(CDS-product:d-isomer_specific_ 2-hydroxyacid_dehydrogenase-_protein)". Lineage: Eukaryota; Euglenozoa; Kinetoplastea; Trypanosomatida; Trypanosomatidae. The record is from RNAcentral.
UCUGCCACACGGUUGUCUUUUCCGCUUUUCUUUUUCUUUUUCGCUGUUGUUGUUCGACCCUCUCUAUCCGUUAGCGACACCACCUCCGGCACCCCACGUGACGUUGGGUUCACACACGCCAGCAUCGGUCGAUUCCGUUAUCUGCUCAUAUAUGCCUCAAACCGGGUACACUGUUCGCGUAUAUCUUUUUAAGCUUGCGUAAUAGCACGCUUUGUUCUCUCCUAUCGCCUCACGCGGUCGCGCUCUGUACUGCGGUGGCACCCCUGCCCGUUCGGUUUAGGCUCUGCUCUCGUACUCCCUGCCCAUUCUGUGCUUCCGCUGUCGGCAGCAUGGCCCCUACCAUUUGCGUCUGCGUCGAUGAUGACCUCUGCGGUGCGGUGUGUGAUGUUCUGAAGCAGCUCGAGGGCAGGAUCUCCGCAAUCGUGUGCGGCACCGAUGUCAGCUGCUUUGCUUCUGUGAAGGCAGACAACGAUGGCAUUUUCAUGGUUGUUUCGGGGAGCUGCGCCCACGCUGUCAUCAAGGAUCUUUGCGACGACUAUGACAAGGAGGAGCGUCGCGUGAAGCUCAUCUACAGCCUAUAUGCCGGCGUCGACGCGUACAAGCUCUCGGAGCUGAAGCAGGAGCUCUCCGGCAUCCUGUUCUGCAACGCACAGGGCUGCUGCUCCAACGUUCUUGCAGAGUACGUCGUAUUCAGCAUGCUGUACUUCAAUCGCCUCCCAUGGCGCUUGGCUGCCUCGAAGAAUGAGAAGAAGUGGGACCCCUUCAGCAGCAUUGAACUCCGGCGGCAGAAGCUCGUGAUCAUCGGCUACGGCAACAUCGGCGAAGCCUGCGGCGCGAAGGCGGUGGCGCUGGGCAUGCAGGUGACCGGCAUCCGUCGCAGCGGCGACAAGAAGACGGACAAGUUUGGUGUGAUGGUGCGCGGCAAUGACGCGCUGGACGAGUCGAUCCGUGAGGCCGACUUUGUCGUUUCUGUGCUGCCUGGCACGGAGCACACGAGGCGCUUCUUCGACAAGGCGUUCUUUGCAAAGAUGAAGCCGAGCGCCGUCUUCAUCAACAUUGGCCGUGGCAUGUCGGUGUGCGAAGCUGACAUCAUCGAGGCUCUCAAAAAAGGCACUAUUCGUGCUGCUGCUCUCGAUGUGUUUGAUGUGGAGCCGCUUCCAAAGGACUCCCCUCUGUGGGACUUGCCUGACAGCAAGCUGCUGUUGUCAGCACACUCCGCAAACUUGACGGAGGAUGUUAUCGAGCGCACCAUGAAAAUUUUCACGGAUAUCUUCGACGAGCUGAGCACUCAUGGGACGGUUUCUGCCCAUACGGUGUGCAUGGAUAAGGGCUACUAGGCGCAUCAUCGUGCGCUGCAGUGCUUGGGUUCCUGUGCAUAUGCUACUCGUGUGUGGCACGGUACGAACCCUGGCGCUUGCAAUGUACGUUCUCUUUAUUAAUUGCUUGUUGACAUAGUUCCGACACCACAUCUUCACUUUUUCAAGUGCUCUGCGCUUACCGAGGUCGAAUGUGGUGUCGCAGCGUGUGCAGAAGUUGAGUGGCACUUGAUUUCGACAAGCAAGCCUUGCUUUGUCUCUCUAGUUCAUUUUUCGCGUCUGUGCGUGCGUGUGUCUGUGUAGCAGAAGAACAGGAGGGCCGCGCUUCGUGAUUUGGGCAUCGCUCCUUCGUUUCUGCUUCAUUUUCUCCGUAAGGCGCUCGGCACUCAGCACAACAACGUAAGUCUAUAUCAUUGCUUCCAGUACCGGGAUCAGUGACAUGCAUUUCUUAAACAGGAAUGCAGGCCUGCAUACCAGGCUGCGCGGUGAUAUACUCCGUGGAAACAAAUAAGAUGCUAGGUGAAGUUCAACUGAGCCCACCGCUGGCCCCCCCUCCUCUCCUGUUUUAUUUGCUUUGUUACGUAAACCACAAUGGGGAAACACUUUAUUUUAUUGGGUUUUGCAGCCUUCGAUGUACCAUCGAUAACGCCACGACAGCGUCGUGACAAGAGGUAUACCUCUCCAGCGCCUGCAAUAGUGCGACGUCUUCGCGCAGCAUCGACUCGCCCAUCCACAUUUUGCUUUUCUAGGCCGUGCUGAUCGGCAGAGACGCGUCGUCGCUUCCUAGCACGCUUGGCGCCGCGGGACACCUCCAGUCUCGCGAAGUCAGCGGACGCCAGCACUCUGCCCUUCUUAUGCGACUGCAGCAGCGCAGAGUCCAUCAUCAGUAGCCUUAGCCGCCAACACAAGAAAUAAUACGUUCAGCUUUUUUUCACCCACAUCCCGCCGCUUUCGCUGCACAAGUCAUCACGAUUGUCAGGCGGUGAUGUGAGCUUGUUUGUGUGCGUGCGCGGUUGCAUGGCUUGGCGUCUUCCAUCAAAUGCAGUUCGUGGCAAUGGCCGAAGUAUGGAAUCCCGUGUCAACAUGUCCGCCCUUUGCAAACCAAAUUCAGGGCGCUGACGCCUUUGAGGGCGAGGUUCCCCGACUCUCAGAGAGGUCAACGAUUGUAUCUGCCCUAAAGCCCUGUUGUGCUCGAGCACGAAUUACCAUGUUGCCGUGGCGCAUCCACGGUAACGGCACGGACUCGCGUCGAUUCGUUAUCUUCCUCGUGUGCGUGCCUUCGCCUCUGCAGAUUGGCGCAGCCUCUCUCUAUCGCCGGCUCUCUCCG